CGGGCGGGGUGGUGGUUGCUUCCGCUGCUGGCAGCUCGAGAAGCGGUUCACCGCGGCUUCUUUCGCGUCUGAUCUUCCUGGCUCGUCUCCGGCUGAACAGCGCGACGAGGCGAAAGGGAGUCGCACGCGCGUUACAGGCGCGCAUCGCUGGUGGGGCUGGUAAGGGAUCCGAGGCAUUCAAAGCAGCCCUGCCAGGUGGCGCUGGAAGGCGGCUUGAGAACAGAAUACAAAACAAGAAUAACUUAUACAACAAUGAGAAAAAAAUUGAUUCUACAAGAGAUUCAAGCUGCAGUUGUAUACCCACAGACCUGGGAGUAAGCCCCAUUGAACUAAACUUUUGAGUAGAUGUGCAUAGCACAGGAGGGAAGCCUCUGGCCAGGUAAUGCACAAGGAUUCCCUUUGAAUCGUUCACUUCAGCCAAAGCAAACAAGGUUCUCUGAAUCCCAAGAAAGGAAAGAUGCAGAAUCGGAAUCCUGCCCCAGACAUGGACAUGUCUAGUUACAACACUGCCUGGGGAUAUAGCAUGGAUGCAUCAAGUACAUUACUAUGCACAGCUGAAUCACUUGAAGGCUUGUAAAUACCGUCAACCAUAUGAUCUGAGCUUUAGUUGGAUAUAUGAACUGAUGCUGCAGGUUGUUGAGUCACUGUGAGGACUUGCACCUGAACCCAGCCCUGCUGAUCUGGAAUGUGGAACAGCUGAAACAAAUUUUCCUGCUUUGGCUCCAUUGGCUUCAGAGCAGCAGCAUUAUUAUUUUUAACCUUUAGCAUUUUACAGCACAAUCCUAACCAUGCCUACUCUGUUGAAUUCAAUAGGGCUUAGUCCCAGGUAAAUGGAUUUAGGACUGUAGUUUUAGAGAGAGAAAUGCAAUACCGCACACAUUGUGGGGGGUGAUGAUCCUUUCCCAGGAAUGAGCUUUCCAAGACAUGGAGAUAAGAAUGAUCAUGUGUUAACAGAGGGGCAGCAAACUUUUUUUUCUGACUGAGGUCCACAUACUCUCAGGGGUAAUGUUUUUUUGGGGGGCUGCAUGCUGGCAAUGAGUGGGGGCAUAGCCACCCCACACUCUUUCUCUUUCAAGUUCACCACCAAAGGGAGUUGGAAUCCAGCAAUCUCUGGAGGACCACCGAUUCCUCUCCUCCGGAGCAGAUGGGCCUUUUAGUCAGAUUCAGCUGGGUGGUUAUGUUCUGUCUUGUUAUGCCUUGGAGCAGAUUCUGUCUUUAGUCUACCAAGAUUUAGAUCUGCUCUACAUACACACAGCAGACUGAAGCGGGAAUGAAUGACUAGAGGUCCAAGGUAGUUGAUUGGAACUACUGAGAGCUAUCAAGUGGCCCACGCUUUCCGCCUUGAGAUACGGGAGGGGACAAAGGUUUGGUGAGAAAAGGGAACAACAUGACAAUGCUUCCUCCCUUUGAGAUUUAUUUUGCAUCUUCCACGAUGGCUAAUAUCUGAAGUACAGGACCAUAAAUUACUCUUGUUUUCAUUCUAAAGAUUAAAUGAUAUCCAUCAGACCAUUUCCCUCAUACUAAAAGUAUUUUAGAACUAAUAUUGUGGCACACGCUUCCAGAGGCCAUGGUUGGUUUCUAUAAAGUGAUUUGUUUCUGUACAGUCUAACUUUUUAACACACUAACAAAGCCUUUCCCAAACGUUGGGCCCCCAGGUGUCCAGGUAUCGCUGGAUUACAACCAUCAGCCCCAGCCAGCAUGGCCAAUGAUCAGGAAUGAUGGGAACUGUAGUCCAGCAACAUCGGGGGACUCAAAAGCCGGGAAAGGCUGCUCCAAUCACUACAUCACACUUCUUGUACGAAGCCCUUAUAAUCAUAAGCAGGGUAUGUUCUUUUGGAGUUUGGGAAUUUGUUAUCAUUGUAGUUUAGAAAAAUGCCUAACCUUUGAGUUUCACACAAUAACAUGGCAUACCGCAUGAUGCUGCUGAGUUCAUUAAAUGCAGCUGGGACAACUGAGCAGGAUUUUCAAUGGAGCCACAAAAAAAACCAUUUGCUUUGUAAGUAAAAUUUAAGCCUUUUCUCUCUUUCUUUGCUUCUUAGAGCCUGGCUUUUCAGUAACAGCUGUGAGUUUGGAAAAUGUAGCUUCACACCAUUCAGAGCAGAGUCCUUUCCGCAGAUGUUUGCUAGACUGUGUCUAUGUGGUGCAAGCCAUUUAUAUUGCCUUGCCUUGACAGGGAUGGGGAACCCAUGUCUUUCUAGGUGUUAAAACCCCAUCAGCCCCAGCCAGCAUGGCCAAUGGUGCAGGAACAUCUGGAGGACCAUAGGUUUCCUAUUUCUGGUCUACAGCAUGCAUGGGUGAACUCACCGUUAGGACACUCCCGCACAAACACAUCAUACUAGUGGUGUUCAAAAAACAUCGCACACACUCAAUGAAUUAUUUGUUAAGGCACUUUGAGGGUAAAGUUGCUUGCCUCUGUAGUAGUCUUGACACCACAUCCUCCCCAGUAAGGUGUCCAGUGCAGCGUUUGCUACUCCCCCUGCUCAAAGCAGGAAUCCAAGCGAAUGCAUACCCUUUUGGAUUCCUUGUGACAUCUCUAGUUAUAAUCCAGAACCAGAGAGUAGAACUGUGACCAUGUUCUCUUUCCUCCUUUGCAAGUUUACUUGGGAAUUCAUUUUGGAAAAACUAGAAAGCUGAACUCCACAAAAUACAGUAAAAGCUCUAAAAACAGAUUCCUUUUAAAGCAGACUUUAUCUGCCAUCUGAGAAGAUUAUGCUUUUACAUGCAUUUGAGGCUGAAACAUUUCCACUUAGUUAGUUGAAAACAUAUUGUCUGAUUGAUAGGUACAUACUGAUAAAUUGUUGUUUGUUAUUUAUGGUGAUUAUAUGAGGUUUUUUUAUUUCACUGUAUUACGUCUGCAAUGAUGUAGGUCUUCUAUUUAAAGAUAAUAUUUAUUUAUCAUGCCAGGAGCGACUGGUGUCUAGGAAGGCUUCUAUCGGUAAAGUAAACAUGAGGUGCAGGCGAACAAAGUGUAAGUGAAAUGCUGUGUUUACGUUCAGUAUUGAAUUUCUAAUUUCAUUUCCCCAUUUUGUAAUAGAGGGGGAAAAACAAAACAAGAGUCAAGGAGAGUGGAUGGAAAUCCAGAACGUUAUGUACUAUAUAUGAUGCCUGUUGAUAGUCUUUGCAUAUUCCGGUUUUUUUGGCAGCAAUUUAUUCCUGAUAUGCUGGUGUUGACAGCAAGAGAGUUCAGAAUAUUCCUCAAACAAGAUUUAAAUGUAAGAAUUAUUAGGGAGGAGAAGCAAGAAAGAAAAAGUACCUACUGAUCAGAGAAAUUCUUCUGUUGACACCCUGCUAGCUCUACCUGUUUGGGUUUUCAUUAACUGAAGGUAAUACUAGUUCGGGGUAGAGAAUCUUUUUCAGCACGAGUGCUGCAAUCCCCUCUGGGCAGCCUUCUGUAAGGAGGCGGGGACACUUGCCUAUGGUGGGUGGGGCCAGAAGCAAAAGUAGGUGGAGCAAUGAAUUUUAACUUCACCUUUGCACAGCAUUUAUUUUACUUAGAACAUUUGCGGUAGGAUAAUUUCUACGCACCCUCACCCUCUCCUCUCUGUCUUCCAUCCAGGCAAACAGAAAGCAUCCUAAGAGGUCAGGGAUGCAUUUCAGUCAGGCAAAACCACUGUAAAGAGCAUGGCCUGAGGAGGGCAUGUAGUGUGGUGAGAGUCCCGAGGGCCAGGUAGAGAGGCUUGCAGGGCCACAUUUGGACCCCAGGCAUGAGGUUCCCCACCUCUGUACUAGAUAAAGAAUACUCAUGCCAAGAUGUGACACAGAUACUGGCCUGCUAAUAGUUGUUGACAGGGGAGUGUAGCUGUGUGCAAGGGCUGCACUCCCUCAACUGAUGCACAGGCGCCAGCUAUGACCCCUGCCCGAUGCACAUUUGGCCAAUGUGUGAAGUGCACCUACAUGCGUGCCAACCUAUGUGUGUAAAGUGCUCCACAUGCUGGGGGAAUCCUGAUUAGUCAGGAUCCUACCUCUUGUGAAGGUGUGCGAAGCAUAUAGGCUGGCCCACGCAUAGGGCCACGUCGCAUGUUGGCAGUGGACAUGGUCACUGUGUUCACUGGUGUGUGCGUGUGUUCAUAUAAGUGAAGGGUGUUCAUAUGAAUGCCCUUUAGGAAGCUGGCAAGUCCCAGGUCAGGGGACUCUGUAGGGGUGUGGAGAGCCCUGGAAUAGGCAUGAGAAAGAACUUGUUUAGACUCUCUGCUCCUCUCCAAACAGAUGCCCUGCCAGUGCACAGGUCAGGCAGCUUGAUGCAUCCCAACACAGAGCUAAAAGAAUUGCUGGCAAUCCUCUCCCCAAUCUGUUGGUGGCAAAUCCAUCAAUAUUUUAAUAGGUCCACCUUUGUACACAGUUGGGAAGUUAGGGGUUUAAACGCUAGAACAUGUGUAUAAAUUUGUACGCUUGAUCUUUCGUUACUCCUAGACCCCAGUGUUCUUUCCUGCCUGUCUUCCUGAACAGGCAGCAUGUUUCAGUCAGAGCUGGCCUUUGUUUCAACUCUGCCUAACACCCUGAAGUACAGCUUCCUGUUGUGUCAAUUUCACAGGCAAAUUCUUUAAGCAGAAGCUGAAGCUUGCCUUUUGAGUAAGUAGUUCCCAGCAGUAGUGGCCUGUGUGGUAGGGCAGAGCCAGGGAGUCAUCCUCCCAAGAUCGGUGUUGCUGCAGUUUAGCUGGAUGGGGUGGGGUAGGGCAGUGAGGUCUGGGUAUGCAGGUGCACCAUAGGAACAAAUCCAGUGCUCCCAUUGGUGCACCCAUGCAGCACUGACCUUGCCACUGUCCUGUCCUGGAGCAGUGAUGCCCCGCCACAUGGGAUGUUUCUGCUUUCCAGUAUCCAAAUUCAAGACUCCAGGCUCAUCUUCAGCUGGAGGUACCUAGCUAUGCUUUCUGAAAUCCAUGCUGUCAAUUUCCCAAAAGUGUAGAGAGAAAGAAACCUCUCAUUUUGGAUUCAUUUCUUGCUUCUUAAAAUGGAUCUU
Molecule: long non-coding RNA, 4957 nt
Organism: Rhineura floridana
Lineage: Eukaryota; Metazoa; Chordata; Lepidosauria; Squamata; Rhineuridae
Exons: 5
Source: RefSeq, a predicted model, not a curated record